Molecule: ribosomal RNA, 608 nt
Filed under: Acinetobacter junii
Lineage: Bacteria; Pseudomonadati; Pseudomonadota; Gammaproteobacteria; Moraxellales; Moraxellaceae
Description: bacterial SSU rRNA
Rfam family: Bacterial small subunit ribosomal RNA
Source: RNAcentral
GCAAGUCGAGCGGAGAUGAGGUGCUUGCACCUUAUCUUAGCGGCGGAGGGUGAGUAAUGCUUAGGAAUCUGCCUAUUAGUGGGGGACAACAUUCCGAAAGGAAUGCUAAUACCGCAUACGUCCUACGGGAGAAAGCAGGGGAUCUUCGGACCUUGCGCUAAUAGAUGAGCCUAAGUCGGAUUAGCUAGUUGGUGGGGUAAAGGCCUACCAAGGCGACGAUCUGUAGCGGGUCUGAGAGGAUGAUCCGCCACACUGGGACUGAGACACGGCCCAGACUCCUACGGGAGGCAGCAGUGGGGAAUAUUGGACAAUGGGGGGAACCCUGAUCCAGCCAUGCCGCGUGUGUGAAGAAGGCCUUAUGGUUGUAAAGCACUUUAAGCGAGGAGGAGGCUACUGAGACUAAUACUCUUGGAUAGUGGACGUUACUCGCAGAAUAAGCACCGGCUAACUCUGUGCCAGCAGCCGCGGUAAUACAGAGGGUGCGAGCGUUAAUCGGAUUUACUGGGCGUAAAGCGUGCGUAGGCGGCUUUUUAAGUCGGAUGUGAAAUCCCCGAGCUUAACUUGGGAAUUGCAUUCGAUACUGGGAAGCUAGAGUAUGGGAGAGGAUG